GCCCGGAUAGCUCAGUCGGUAGAGCGUUAGGCUUAACCUAACGGUCCAGGGUUCGCGCCCCUGUCCGGGCG
RNAcentral lists this transfer RNA (71 nucleotides) under Cordylochernes scorpioides. Its description in RNAcentral is "tRNA-OTHER". It matches the Rfam family "tRNA". Rfam says of the family: Transfer RNA (tRNA) molecules are approximately 80 nucleotides in length. The record is from RNAcentral. Lineage: Eukaryota; Metazoa; Arthropoda; Arachnida; Pseudoscorpiones; Chernetidae.